GUUAGGAAUAUUGGACAAUGGGCGCAAGCCUGAUCCAGCCAUGCCGCGUGAGUGAUGAAGGCCUUCGGGUUGUAAAGCUCAUUAGUCCACGAAUAUAAUGACUGUAGUGGAAGAAUAAGCCCCGGCUAACUUCGUGCCAGCAGCCGCGGUAAUACGAAGGGGGCGAGCGUUAUUCGGAAUCACUGGGCGUAAAGCGUGCGUAGGCUGUUUUGUAAGUCAGAAGUGAAAGCCCAGGGCUUAACCCUGGAAUUGCUUUUGAAACUACAAGACUCGAAUUCGGGAGAGUAUAGCGGAAUUGUCAGUGUAGCAGUGGAAUGCGUAGAUAUUGACAGGAACACCAGUGGCGCAAGCGGCUAUCUGGACCGAUAUUGAAGCUGAGGCACGAAAGCGUGGGGAGCAAACAGGAUUAGAAACCCCGGUAGUCC
RNAcentral lists this ribosomal RNA (425 nucleotides) under uncultured bacterium. RNAcentral describes it as "partial 16S ribosomal RNA". It matches the Rfam family "Bacterial small subunit ribosomal RNA", at positions 354 to 796 of the family's 1533-position model. The record is from RNAcentral.